Paramisgurnus dabryanus is the source of this 569-nucleotide long non-coding RNA. RefSeq lists it as uncharacterized. The record is from RefSeq and is a predicted model, not a curated record. Lineage: Eukaryota; Metazoa; Chordata; Actinopteri; Cypriniformes; Cobitidae.
CUCCGUCAAUGAACGCGAUUGGAUUUAACUUUUUUAGGUGUCCUUAGCUCUGCCAGAAUGCUAAACGAAGACGAAAAUGUGUUGCAAAGACAUCCAAAAGGUUUUAAGGAGAAUGCAACAGGUUCCAGGGCCUCUUACCUGCGUGAUUCAUCAUCCAGAUAUGCUUGGAGCUUCCUGAUUGGAAUGUUGGCUUCCGACGACCCCUGCACUGAAGAUGGCAUGCAAUCACGUCCUCCUUUGAAGGUUUCUCAAACUGUGAUGCCAGGUCCAUUGGAAUUGGGGUUUCCUUCAGCUUAUCUUCAAAUACCUCAUCAAACACAAGCCUGAUCACAUCAUCCACAUAACUGUAGAAAUAUUGCAGUCAAUAAAUCUUUUGUUUUGAUCAUUUAUUUCCCUGCUUCAUACAUUAAGUUUUUAAUUAUGAAUGUAUUUGAAAUAAAACAUUACUGCUUACGGUAUGUCAUUUGUGUGUUUUGGGAACAUAGCCUUGUACUUUCCCUCUCCUGCUUUUGUUACGGCUUGGUGACAUUGUAAUGGAUGGCUGCAAGGUACAACCUGUAAAAAUAUAA